Molecule: ribosomal RNA, 76 nt
Filed under: Citrobacter koseri
Lineage: Bacteria; Pseudomonadati; Pseudomonadota; Gammaproteobacteria; Enterobacterales; Enterobacteriaceae
Also listed under: 66 other names
Description: partial 16S ribosomal RNA
Rfam family: Bacterial small subunit ribosomal RNA
Source: RNAcentral
AAAUUGAAGAGUUUGAUCAUGGCUCAGAUUGAACGCUGGCGGCAGGCCUAACACAUGCAAGUCGAACGGUAACAGG